UGAGGAAUUUUGCGCAAUGGGGGGAACCCUGACGCAGCAACGCCGCGUGGGUGAUGAAGGCCUUCGGGUCGUAAAGCCCUGUCGGGCGGGAAGAACGUCCCUUCGGGGAAUGACGGUACCGCCAGAGGAAGCACCGGCUAACUCCGUGCCAGCAGCCGCGGUAAUACGGAGGGUGCAAGCGUUAUUCGGAAUUACUGGGCGUAAAGGGCGUGCAGGCGGGAGAGCAAGUCUGAUGUGAAAGCCCGGGGCUUAACCCCGGAAGGGCAUUGGAAACUGCUUUUCUUGAGUUCUGGAGAGGAAGGGAGAAUUCCCGGUGUAGAGGUGAAAUUCGUAGAGAUCGGGAGGAACAUCAGUGGCGAAGGCGCCCUUCUGGACAGCAACUGACGCUGAGACGCGAAAGCGUGGGGAGCAAACA
This 415-nucleotide ribosomal RNA is filed under the name uncultured prokaryote. Its description in RNAcentral is "bacterial SSU rRNA". It matches the Rfam family "Bacterial small subunit ribosomal RNA", at positions 355 to 774 of the family's 1533-position model. The record is from RNAcentral.